RNAcentral lists this ribosomal RNA (488 nucleotides) under Prasinoderma coloniale. RNAcentral's name for it is "partial Eukaryotic large subunit ribosomal RNA". It matches the Rfam family "Eukaryotic large subunit ribosomal RNA", at positions 1443 to 1928 of the family's 3401-position model. Lineage: Eukaryota; Viridiplantae; Prasinodermophyta; Prasinodermophyceae; Prasinodermales; Prasinodermaceae. The record is from RNAcentral.
UGCAGAUCUUGGUGGUAGUAGCAAAUAUUCAAGUGAGAACCUUGAAGACUGAAGUGGGGAAGGGUUCCAUGGUAACAGCAGUUGGACAUGGGUGAGUCGGUCCUAAGAGAUAGGGGAACUCCGUUUCAAAGUGUGCGCUUGUUCGCACGGCCUAUCGAAAGGGAAUACGGUUAAAAUUCCGUAACCGCGAUGUAGAUUCUGAACGGCAACGUAAAUGAACUUGGAGACGCCGGUGUGGGCCCUGGGAAGAGUUAUCUUUUCUCCUUUACAGCUUAUAACCCUGGAAUCGGAUUAUCCGGAGAUAGGGUCUAAUGGCUGGUAGAGCACUGCUAUUCUGUAGUGUCCGGUGCGUCCACAACGGCCCUUGAAAAUCCGAGGGAAUGAAAAAGUCUUACACGCGAUCGUACCCAUAUCCGCAUCAGGUCCCCAAGGUGAUCAGCCUCUAGUCCAUAGAAUAAUGUAGAUAAGGGAAGUCGGCAAAAUAGAUC